RNAcentral lists this ribosomal RNA (254 nucleotides) under uncultured bacterium. Its description in RNAcentral is "partial 16S ribosomal RNA". It matches the Rfam family "Bacterial small subunit ribosomal RNA", at positions 524 to 776 of the family's 1533-position model. The record is from RNAcentral.
UACAGAGGUCUCAAGCGUUUGUUCGGAUUCAUUGGGCGUAAAGGGUGCGUAGGCGGCGCGGUAAGUCGGGUGUGAAAUCUCGGGGCUUAACUCCGAGACUGCAUUCGAUACUGCCGUGCUUGAGGACUGGAGAGGAGACUGGAAUUUACGGUGUAGCGGUGAAAUGCGUAGAUAUCGUAAGGAAGACCAGUGGCGAAGGCGGGUCUCUGGACAGUUCCUGACGCUGAGGCACGAAGGCCAGGGGAGCAAACGGG